GACGAACGCUGGCGGCGUGCUUAACACAUGCAAGUCGAACGAUGACGACCGAGCUUGCUCGGUCUGAUUAGUGGCGAACGGGUGAGUAACACGUGAGCAACCUGCCCUUCACUCUGGGAUAACCUCGGGAAAUCGGGGCUAAUACCGGAUAUGAGCUCCUGUCGCAUGGCGGGUGUUGGAAAGUUUUUCGGUGAAGGAUGGGCUCGCGGCCUAUCAGUUUGUUGGUGAGGUAGUGGCUCACCAAGGCGAUGACGGGUAGCCGGCCUGAGAGGGCGACCGGCCACACUGGGACUGAGACACGGCCCAGACUCCUACGGGAGGCAGCAGUGGGGAAUAUUGCACAAUGGGCGAAAGCCUGAUGCAGCGACGCCGCGUGAGGGAUGACGGCCUUCGGGUUGUAAACCUCUUUCAGCAGGGAAGAAGCGAAAGUGACGGUACCUGCAGAAGAAACGCCGGCUAACUACGU
RNAcentral lists this ribosomal RNA (466 nucleotides) under uncultured bacterium. RNAcentral describes it as "partial 16S ribosomal RNA". It matches the Rfam family "Bacterial small subunit ribosomal RNA", at positions 28 to 506 of the family's 1533-position model. The record is from RNAcentral.